UUUUUAUCCUGCAGGAACUUUGUUGGCAUUCUUAAGAUUAUGAAACCAGCAACUGGUUUAUAAUUAUUCUGAAUUUGAUAAGAAAAUUUGAAGUGGGAUUACCAUCCUAAUAUGAAAUGACAUUGACCCAGUGAAAUUCAACCAAGAAAAAUUUUAAAACAAAGCAGGAUGUGAUUGAAGCAAUGGCUAAAUUUAUUUUAAAAUAUGUAAUGCCUACAAUACCACACAUAUAGUUAAUGAAAAUUCUGAAGAAAUACAAGCUGGCAUAGUCAAAGCACCUAGGCUAGAAACAGCAAAUGAUUCGGAUGACAUGGGCUAAAAGAUAACAAGGAAUCAUUUUCUAUAAGCAUUAACAAUAAGGAAGACAAAAAAUUUUAGCAAGAGUCAACAUCAAGAAGAUAAAAAUAAUAGUAAUGACAAAGAAAGAGCCAGAGAGCAGACAAAGUAUCAAGACUUGAGUCUUAAGGGAUGUCAGGGAAGUAUUGAGAUCUCAUCCUCCCCAGCCACUGUUCCAGUGUUCAUAUUGACAGCAAAACUCCUCAAAAGAGCUGAAGGGGAACAGGUGUACUGGCUCAUGCCUGUAAUCCCAGCACUUUGGGAGGCAGAGGUGGGUGGAUCGCCUGAGGUCAAGAGUUUUGAGACCAGCCUGGCCAAUAUGGUGAACCCCUGUCUCUACUAAAAAUACAAAAAUUAGCCGGGAGUGGUGGCACACACCUGUAAUCCCAGCUACUUGAGAAGCUGAGGCACAAGAAUCACUUGAACCUGGGAGGUGGAGGUUGCAGUGAACUGAGAUGGCACCACUGCACUCCAGCCUGGGCAACAAGAGCAAGACUCUAUUCCCAAAAAAAAAGGGGGCUGAAGGGAUUCGUGCCAUCCCAAAAUAUGCUGUUUUGGCAUAUUGAUUAUUUUAAUCUGAAGGCACUUGAGAAACAGCUCAUGCAGAAGGGCUCUGAUAUGGUAUGGAUGUGUUUCCCCUCCAAAUUUUAUGUUGCAUUGUGACCUCCAGUGUUAGAGAUGAGCCUAGUGGGAGGUGUUUGGGUCAUGGGGGCAGAUCCCUCAUGAAUGUCUUCAUGCUGUCCCUGCGAUAAUGAGUGAGUUCUCACUCUGUUCAUUCAUGCAGAGCUGAGCCUGGAAGCUCCUCCUCUCGCUCCUGCUUCUUUCUCACCAUGUGACAUGCCUGCUCCCGCUUCACCUUCUGCCAUGAGUAAAAACUUCCUGAGGCCUCGCCAGAAGCCAAGCAAAUGCUGGUUCCAUGCUUGAGCAGCUUGCCAAACUGUGAGCCAAUUAAACCUCUUUUCUUUAUAAAUUACUGAGUCUCAGGUAUUCCUUUACAGCGAUGCAAAACAAACUAACAUAGGCUCUCUGACCUCCUCAUUUCUACCUAAAAACAGAUCAUAAAAUUUUCCAUGAAAAAGGUGCCUUCCCUGUACUAGGAAGAGAACAUUCUUAUCACCAGAGACUAGGAGUUGAUGCCGAAAUGGACUUCCACAACAAACUACCAAAACGACCCUGUCUUUCGUUAAUUUCCCCCAUGUAUUUCCUAGGCACUGUCCUACAAUUUAAUGCCCCAAGCCCAAGCCCCUUUGUCUUGUCACAUCCCCAUAAUUUAUUGUUCUUUGCGUGAAAAUGUAUAUAAGCUUCACGGCCUACUGUCUUCCUAGGGUCUUCAUUUCCCUUUUGAAGACUGCCACGUCCGUGUAAAAAUAUUAAUAAAAUUGGUAUGCUUUUCUCCUGUUAAUCUGUCUUAUGUCAGUUUAAUUCUUGGACCAACAACAGAACUGAAGAGGGUAGAAGGAAAUUUUGCUUCCCCUACAAAGCCAUUUACUCCCUGAGUCCAAACCUGCUUGAGUUUGCUUCCAUUGCUCUCACUUCAGUGACACUGUUUCUGUCAAGGUCACCAUUUCCAUGUUGCUAGAUUCAGUAGUCAACUCUCAGUCCUCAUCUUACUCUAGCAGCAGCAUUUGAGGAAACUCAUUACAUCCUUUUUCACUUGACCCCUGGAAUGAAUGCCAUUCUCUUUUUUCUUCUACUCCAGCUACUCUUCCUCAGUGUCCUUUAUGACAUUGCCCUCAUUUUCCUGACCUCUAAACUCCAGGGAGCCCAAGGGCUCAAUUCUCAGCCCACUCCUAGUGUAUAUUUACUCCCAGGUGAUCCCAGUUAGUCCCAUGGCUGAAAGCGCUGAUAUCUCUAAGAGGCGCAUCUUUAUCCCAGCCCUCUUUCCUGCCUUGUACAUUCAAUUGCUACUUGCUGUCUCCAUUAGACGUCUAAUAGGCAUCUCAAAGUUAACACAUCCAAACAUGAAUUCCUGAUCUUUCUCCCCAAAACCUGCUCCUACAACACCCUUCCCCUCGUCCAUAAAAUCAACUCCACUCUUUCGUUGCUCAGGCCAAAAAUCUGGCAGUUGUUUUGGUUCCCUUCUUUCCCUCACGCGCCACAUCUAAUCCAUCGGCAUAUACUAUUGGCUCCAUAUUUCAAAUAUGUUCUGAAUUCAACCAUUUUUCAUCUCCUGUCACCACUCUCAAUCACCGUCACCUCUCACCUGAUGCUAUCAUCUGAAUGUUUGUGUCCCACGCAAAAUUCAUAUAUUGAAACCUAACCCCCAAGAUGAUGGUAGUGAAAGGUGGGGCCUUUGGGAGGUAAUUAGGUAUGAAGGCUCUGUCCUUAUGAACAGGAUUAGUGCCCUUAUAAAAGAGGGUUCAGGGAGCCCUUUUGCCCCUCCUGCCAUGUGAGGACACGGCAAGAACGUGCCUACUAUAAGAAACAGACAGGCACUCACCAGACACUGAAUCUAUUGGCACCUUGAUCUUGGACCUCCCAGCCUCCAAGAUUGUGAGAAAUUUGUGUUGUGAGAAAUUUCUGCUAUCCCUCAGUCUCAGGUAUAGCAGCAAGAAAGGACUAAGACACCUGAGAUACUGCAAUAGACUCUUAACUACUUUCUUUGCUUCUGCCUCUACCUCCUUUUUAUGUCCACACGAUCAUCUUAACAUGUAACAAAGUUCUACCCCUCCUCUACACAAAGCCUUCCAGGGGCUCCCAUCUCACUCAGAGUAAAAUCCAUGGCCCACAAAACCCUAGGUGGUCUGCCUCCCCCACCUCCCCACAAUCUCUCUGAUCUCUUUCCACCUCCAUCCCACCCCCUUGCUCACUCCGAUAUGGCCAUCCAGCAGCCAUCUGUCCUCUGUGAUGUUCCUCUGACGGGUUAGCACCCCGAGUCCCGCACCUAUGCACUAGCAGAGCCCUCUGCUGGACACACUCUUCCCUGGGGAUCUGAGUGGCACUCUACCUCAUUUCUUUCAGGUCUCGCUGCUAGAAUGUCAUCUCAUCAAAGAGAACGUCCCUUACCAACCUAUCUAAAAUGGCACGCUUCUACCACUCUUUAUUGUUUUACCCUGCUUUAUUUUUCUGCAUAGCAAUAAUCACAACUUGAUAUUUAUUGCCUGACUUCCCCCACUAUUAUAUGCUCUCUAUAACAGCAGGAAUUAACUGUUUUUGUAAUUACUUGUCCCUAGUACCUAGAAAAAUGCAGACAUAUAGUAAGCACUUAAGAAAAUUAGAAUGAUCAGCAAGAUGAUUAUUUGGAACGAAGGUCACAUAGCAUUUUGAGGUGACUCAGAGUGCCAAACUGGCAGCCAAUGUCUUUAGGAAGCCUUCUGUACUUCAGAAGGCUUUGGGAAUGCUGCGUGCGUACAGCUACACUCAUAGACUACUCAUGAUAUAAGACUUUUGGAAAGAGAGUGUCCUAACUGGCUUUACAAAAAACAACAACAUCCACCCAGGGAGAUUUCUGAGAGAAAUACAGAGCCCAUCUUGAAAAGAACAAUAUUCAUUACUCCUUUCUGAGGACUGAAACAGAACCAAGGCUUGUCCCUGAGUCAAGGCAGCAUGAAAUAUUCUCCUGAAAGCAUAUAUCUUUGCUUGUUCUUACCUAAGAAGCUGAAAGUACAAUCCUGGACUGGAGAUUUUUAGAGACCACAUUGACCUUGACACAUGCCAAAGCAGGAUGAAUUAAUUAUAAUAUCUUAUAAAUCUUUUAAAGAAAGAAGAUUUUAUUAACUCUCAUUAGAAAAAUUUUGUUUGAAACCUGUGGAGAAGGAAGACACUGUUUUUCUUUCUCUGUAACAGUUAGAAAUGUUCAGAGACAAGCAUAGUAUUUAAAUCUUUCGGAUGUGUAAAACUGUAUUUGACAGCAUUUUUAGACUAGGCAUUAAGAAUACUUUAAUGUGUUUGUCUAUUGCAUUAAUUUUAAUUAUACUCCACUGGACUCACAAUGCUUUGAAAUGCUUUAUUAAAUGCCCCCAAGAUCUUGCACUAAUCAUAAUACAAGCACCACCAAAUUUAAAUGCUUAUAUUUCUAGAGCUGGGUAGCAUCAGCUUGCCCGAGAGCACCCUCUUCUGUUUAAAGAAUGUACUGCAAAUUACAUUUCAUGGAGUUCACAAUUCUGGAUUCUACAAAAGGGACUUCUCAGGAAAAUGUCAACACGCACAGUCAUAUUAUUUAAAGAAGCCACUCUUCCCUCUGAAGUUUGGAAGGCUGUGCGAGUGCAGAUACAUGAAGGGUAAGCAGCAAAACCCAGAGUCUAAUGAUGCUGUGCCUUUCUUCCCCAGGAAGUCUCACGGAAAUGAACUGAAAUAUUUUAAAACUUGGGGCAAUUAAUCUAAUCAGUUUUCCUUUUCCUUACAGAGGAAAAUGAUUACAUUCCUUACAGAUGAUUUUAAAGGCACAAUAUUAUCUGUAGCUUGUAUCUAUGGAUUUUUGUAAUUCAACUAUUUGCUUCUUGACUAGCAACUCUGUCUUGCUUUAAAAAUUAGUCAAAUUCAUAUUUCAUUGCCAUUUCUAAGCAGGAUAACAAAAAGUGCUUGUAUCAUAUGACCUAGGGAAAUAUGUGGAUAAUUAGAUUGAGCCCGUGAAAUUCCCAUCAAGAAAGGUAAAUAUUGGCGAUUACAUAUGAUUCAACAGAAUACACAUAACCCUGUGUUUUAGGGCCCUGGCUAAGGGUAUAAGUUCCUUGGAAUACAGUAGUUGCAGAGGAUGGGGAGGGUCUAGGAGAGACAACAUCAAAAUCUACCCUGUGUCUACACAAAAGCGGUGGGACAGUCUAGCCAGAGUUGAGACAAAACAGGGAAGAAUUGAUUGAUGGGAUUUUGAGGACUGUUGUUACAAAUAUGGUCAGUUUUUGCCAGUCAAUCCUUUUGCUGUUCCUGAAGAACUAGGGCCAAGCCUUGUGAGUGCUAGCAGUGGCUAAAAUGGUGCUUCAUGCUCUGUCUUCUAUGAAGUACUGAUGCCUUUUUGAAAUAUUAACUUUAGUAGCUCAAUAAAAAUUUAAUUUCAACACAAGGCAGAUUUCUUAUAAAAAGGAGGGUGGAGAGGUUGUUAGGUUCGUCCUUUAUAAGCACUGAUUCCCUUCAUAUCUCCUACAGCCUCCCUCCACUCCCGCACAACUCUCCUCCACUCUCCCCCAACUCCCUACCACCCACACGUAUAUCUUACCUGAUAUAUAUUCUGUGCAAUUUUGUAAAACUGGUUUUCUAAACUUUAAAAAUGUGGCUUUUAGGUGCACAUUAAUUCUACAGGACUACUCUACAAGUUGCCAAAGGUUGAAAAUUCCAUGGAAUUCUGUGGACAAAGUUUUUCCUGUUUUCAAGGAAAAAUUGUGAAAGGCUUUGAAUAGUGGUAAUCUUAUGCAUGUAUUCAUUUCAUAUAUUUCUUUUUUUUUUUUUUUUUUUUUUUUUGAGAUGGAGUCUCACUCUGUUGCCCAGACUGGAGUGCAGUGGCGCAAUCUCUGCUCACUGCAAGCUCCGCCUCCCGGGUUCACACCAUUCUCCUGCCUCAGCCUCCCCAGUAGCUGGGACUAUAGGCGCCCGCCACCACGCC
RNAcentral lists this long non-coding RNA (5872 nucleotides) under Homo sapiens (human). RNAcentral describes it as "HSALNT0031415". Lineage: Eukaryota; Metazoa; Chordata; Mammalia; Primates; Hominidae. The record is from RNAcentral.